AAACUUGUAUCUUUGACCAAUGGAUGCAGCGGAAGUGAUGCUAUGCUCCUUCCAAGGCUAAGGCCAUAGAAAGGGUACAGCCUCCAUCUGUUUCCUCUCUCAGGACACUUGUCCUUGGAACUCAGCUAUUAUGCUCUGAGAACGCACAAAUUAACUCACAUGGAGAGGCCAACAUAGAGAGGAACUAAGAUCUUCAGCUGACUGUCACCAUUGUGCACCAGACAGGAGUGAAGAAACCUUCAGAUGAUUCCAACUCCCAGCCUUCGAAUCUUCCACCUGAGGCCCCAGACCACGCUGGAUCAGAGACAAGCUGUCCCCACCGUGUCCUGUCCAACGUCCUUCACAGAAUCAGUGAGCACGACACAUUGCUGUUUCAUGACACCAAAUUGAGGGGUAAAUUCGUAUGUGUCCAUAGUAACUGGAACAGAUUUUGAUGCCAUGUAAAAUGAUACAAAAAAAGAAGAUAGAUAGGGAAUUUUUGCAAAUUGCUUAUCUAUUAAUUUAAUUUGGUCCAUUGCUAGACCAAGUACUUAAGAGUUAAUUCUGUAUCUAACAACUUAGUAACCAGAUUGUCAGCAAAAUGCAAGCAAAAUUUAGAGGGACGAUGACAUUUCAUAUUGACAGAUUAAACAUGGUACCAGUUCACUUUCAGCUCUUGACAAAGGAUACUUUUGUAUUUCUGAUCUCUCAGAAUUGUUAGCUGAGUGUUUACUAAUUUACUCUUAGCUAAAAUUCUCCUGUUUAGGAAUGAGGAAAUUCUACUAGCUAGCUCAGGGGUGGUCAGCCAGAGCUCUUGUAUUAUAGGAGCUCGUAAUAAUAAAAUUCUAUAUUUAUAGAUGGUCUUGCACGAGGUUUUUACAGCCUUAAUCUCAAGUGAAGUUUACUAAUGCAUUUGUGUGGGCAUCACAUAAAGGCAUACAGUGGCCAUAGACUCUCAUGAUCUGUUGUACCCUUUGUGAAGGAGAAAUUGAACAAACUGAUUAUUGGCUCAGCAAGAGGACAAAAUGAAGAAAGUGUAUUACCAGCAGACCCAUCUAAAAGAAAUGAUGAAGGAUCAAGGGAAAGGAUACUACAGGGAAACUUGAAACUUCAGAAAUGGAGGAAGAACAAUGAAAAUGGUUAACUGUACUGUCUUCUUUAAUCCUUUCGACAACUCUAAAUGGCGGGCAUGAUUAUUCACAUUUCACUGAUGAGGAAACCGAGGCUCAAGAAAAGAUGAACUUAAAAUUCUGUCACAAAGGCCUUUCUAUUGCCACCAUGCUGUCUCCUAGGUAAUUCUCUGUGUUAUUGGCGACGAUGGACAUGUGAAUUGACGAUGCUAUCUAUUCAAAGUGUUUAUGAUAUAUACACCUAUAUAGGCACUUUUAAAUUAUAUCCCUAAUGAAAGAUGGUUUUGUUUGAAUGAGACAUAACCUAAUAUGGAGCCUCACCAUUUUGUGUGUCUCAGGUGCACUUUGCUGGACAUCUUCUGACUUAAGGGCCUCUUGCCUAGUGAAGAGGAGUC
Long non-coding RNA from Sapajus apella (tufted capuchin), 1504 nucleotides. RefSeq lists it as uncharacterized. The record is from RefSeq and is a predicted model, not a curated record. Lineage: Eukaryota; Metazoa; Chordata; Mammalia; Primates; Cebidae. The transcript has 3 exons.